UACGUAGGGGGCAAGCGUUGUCCGGAUUUAUUGGGCGUAAAGAGCGUGUAGGCGGUCAGGUAGGUCCGUUGUGAAAACUCGAGGCUCAACCUCGAGACGCCGAUGGAAACCAUCUGACUAGAGUCCGGAAGAGGAGAGUGGAAUUCCUGGUGUAGCGGUGAAAUGCGCAGAUAUCAGGAAGAACACCCGUGGCUAAGGCGGUUCUCUGGGCCUGUACUGACGCUGAGGAGCGAAAGCGUGGGGAGCGAACAGG
Molecule: ribosomal RNA, 253 nt
Filed under: uncultured bacterium
Lineage: Bacteria
Description: partial 16S ribosomal RNA
Rfam family: Bacterial small subunit ribosomal RNA
Source: RNAcentral